Equus asinus (donkey) is the source of this 1629-nucleotide long non-coding RNA. NCBI's taxonomy places the organism in Eukaryota, Metazoa, Chordata, Mammalia, Perissodactyla, Equidae. The record is from Ensembl.
AAAAGGAGGGUAAACAGUUUUCUGCACCUUUACGUUGGGGAGUUGUAAAGUCAGUAAGAUAACAAGAAACAACUGCGAGAAAUCAGUGACUGUAAUUGCUUGUAAAUAUUUCCACCAAAAUAAUGAGUAGUGUUUGAUGGGGUCAGUUUAAUCAACAGUUCAUUACCAAAUCAGUCGUUCUUUCAUUAUGUUGUAAGAAGUAUACAGUUAAAACUAGACCCAGAGCACGCUAACAUUAAUCUGGCUGUUAAGACUACUUUAUAAAAUGUUAUAUACAGUGUAUUUUCAAAUUCUUUAAGCGAUCAAAACCCACUUGAUAUAUAGAUUUUUUCAUCUGAAAUUGCGAAAAUUAUUUUCUCUCCUUUUCAGUUUUUCUACCAAGUAACUAAAACUUCGCAUUGGGCAUUUUUUCUAUUUUUGAGAUAUGUUUUCAAAGAAAAGUUAGAGUAGAAUGAAAAUGAGAAUCUUUGGAUACAAAUGAGAAAAAUCUAAUGUUAUAUGAAAAUUCUAUUCUUAAUCAAUUUGAAAUGUUCAUAUGUUACAGAAAACAGCAAACCAAUGCUUAAUGAGAAAUGAAACACUUAUGAAUCUUGUAAGUUAAUCAAUAUUUGAAAAUUCACCUCCACCCUCCUGUGUCACUUCGUUUUUGUUUUCUUACCUAUAAUUUGGACUUUAGUCUAAGAUUGUGUUCCAUUUUAUGUCUGUUUUAGAAAGAACAAGGAGAGAAAAAUUUGUCCGUGAACUUUGUGCUUUUUUAGACAGUAGUCAAUCUGUAAGUAGUAUGUGGAAAGAAACUACAUCCUUUUGAUUAUUUAUACUUGGACAAUUAUAAAUUUUAAAGGAGGGCGAAAAUGCCUAUUUUGAUAAGGCUUACUAACUCGUUCCGUUGCCAUGAAAUUCCAUUGAUGUCAGUGGCAGUGUUAUUUUGUACAAAAUAGUUAUAUAUUUAAAGUAGGCUGUGAUGGUCUGGAAGUUUGACAGCCUUUUUCCUUUCUGAAGAAAACUACAAAGGCCAUUUUAAAUAUCUCCAGAUUAAGAACUUCUUUCUAUCCCCAUACCUCUAAAAAUAGAACUGAAACUAAUGAUGAAGUCCAAACUCUUGCUUUGUGACUCAUCUGGGAUAAACCCAGAGUGACUUGUUUUGUUAUAGGCAAGACACAGCAAAUUCAGAAGGCAAUAUGAAGUGCCCUACUUAUGUUAUUUUACUUAACGUGCAAAUAAACUAUAUUAACAAGAAAUAUUUUCAAUAAUUAAGACUUCAAAUUUAAAAAAUAAAUCAUGACAUUCUUCAAAUGUGAAUGAUUACAUCAGUUGUAAAAUUUUCUAAUGCAGGCACUUGAAAAAUUUAUUUUCGCUGGGUCUAAGAAAUCUGCUUUGAGGAUAGAAAACAAGAUGUUAAAAAAAUACAGUAUUUACAGUUGUACAUUUUGUUUAGACUUGUAAAUAUGUAUGUCAAGGGAAUAAUCAGUAAUGAUUACCUGAAUAAUUACAUGUGCUUUAGCUUCCUACAAAGUGUGUCCUAUUUAGUGAUUUAACUACCCAUUUUAUAUUUAAUCAAAAUCCUGUUUUUCCUCUAUAAGAACUCAAAACUUGAUAUAAAACAAAGAAUAUGUAAAUAAGCUUCUGUAU